This 203-nucleotide long non-coding RNA is filed under the name Helianthus annuus (common sunflower). RNAcentral describes it as "hypothetical non coding rna". Lineage: Eukaryota; Viridiplantae; Streptophyta; Magnoliopsida; Asterales; Asteraceae. The record is from RNAcentral.
ACCACCUGAAACCACACCUCUCUCUUACUAUCUCCUGUUGAUGACCACCGCCGGAUUGACCAAAGCAUUAGCCGGAGAAGACAACACCACCGGAGAACACUUCAGUCGCCGGAAACCUGCACCCUCGCCGGAAUCAUUGCCGGAGAAGACGACCGGGUAAAUCUCUUGCGCUCGUUUACAAUUCUGUUGGACAAACUCUUGCU